Molecule: long non-coding RNA, 793 nt
Filed under: Gossypium barbadense (sea-island cotton)
Lineage: Eukaryota; Viridiplantae; Streptophyta; Magnoliopsida; Malvales; Malvaceae
Description: long non-coding RNA (GBAR_LNC010863)
Source: RNAcentral
CCCCCCCCCCACUUUAUCUCUUCCUCCUUUUUUCAGCUAGGGUCUCAACACCCAUCAUCACCGGCGGUUCACCGUGCCGAACGGAGAGGGGAGCGGCCACAGGGUAGAUCCCGUAAGACUCUCUUCUUCCUUGAUUCUUUUUUGUUUUAAAGUAAGUUAAUGAAAUAAAAAAAUAAAACAAAGCAAAGAUAAAUAGAAAGAUUGAGAUAACUGAGGAAAAAAAAUUGAAGUUAACCUUCUAAGCUUUUCUUUUUUCUUUUGUUUUUGAUACAAACUUUUUGUAUUUCGAAAGAACACCCCACAUUUUCGAUUGAGGCUUCUUAUAGUCGAAUACCAAGAAAAUUUCUAUUGUUUGUUGCGUUUUUCUCUGUUCGUUGUAGUUGUGUCUCGUUUUGCAGGCGGUGUCAGACGCAUGGAGGAGAAGGGCAUGCGCGGGGUGUGGUGGUGGUAGUGCGCAAGGUGGCCCAUGGUUGGCCUAGCGUGCGGCGGCUGGAGGCUUGGGGAGCUGCUAGGGUUUUCUUUUUUUUUUUUGGAAAAUGUUUAGUGGGCUAGGUUGAUUUGGGCCUGUUGGACUAGUCUUUUAGUUUUGUACUUUGCACUUUAUUUAUUUGGUUUAUUGGGUUUUGUUAUUUUUUAUUUGUCUGUGCCAAAAAUUGGCCAUCACACAAACAAUAUAACAUAAGCCGACCCAACAAGGAUAAUGAUUAGAUAAAAAAGUAACACAAUUUGUCAAAAGUGGAACUUGAACCCAAGACCUCAUACACAUAUCUAGAACACUUAGUCAUUGAAGCAA